GACGAACGCUGGCGGCGUGCUUAACACAUGCAAGUCGAACGGAAAGGCCCUGCUUUUGUGGGGUGCUCGAGUGGCGAACGGGUGAGUAACACGUGAGUAACCUGCCCUUGACUUUGGGAUAACUUCAGGAAACUGGGGCUAAUACCGGAUAGGAGCUCCUGCUGCAUGGUGGGGGUUGGAAAGUUUCGGCGGUUGGGGAUGGACUCGCGGCUUAUCAGCUUGUUGGUGGGGUAGGGGCUUACCAAGGCUUUGACGGGUAGCCGGCCUGAGAGGGUGACCGGCCACAUUGGGACUGAGAUACGGCCCAGACUCCUACGGGAGGCAGCAGUGGGGAAUAUUGCACGAUGGGCGGAAGCCUGAUGCAGCAACGCCGCGUGCGGGAUGACGGCCUUCGGGUUGUAAACCGCUUUCGCCUGUGACGAAGCGUGAGUGACGGUAAUGGGUAAAGAAGCACCGGCUAACUACGUG
RNAcentral lists this ribosomal RNA (468 nucleotides) under uncultured bacterium. Its description in RNAcentral is "partial 16S ribosomal RNA". It matches the Rfam family "Bacterial small subunit ribosomal RNA", at positions 28 to 507 of the family's 1533-position model. The record is from RNAcentral.